AGAGUUUGAUCCUGGCUCAGAACGAACGCUGGCGGCGCGUCUUAAGCAUGCAAGUCGAGCGGCAAGGCAGGGCAACCUGCCCUAGAGCGGCGGACUGGUGAGUAACACGUGGGUGAUCUGCCCUUGGGUUGGGGAUAGCCACUAGAAAUAGUGGAUAAUACCGAAUACGUUCGCGGGACUAUGGUUCUGCGAGGAAAGGUCCGAUUGGACCGCCCAAGGAUGAGCCCGCGCCUGAUUAGCUUGUUGGCGGGGUAAUGGCCCACCAAGGCGAUGAUCAGUAGGCGGCCUGAGAGGGUGUACGCCCACAUUGGGACUGAGAUACGGCCCAAACUCCUACGGGAGGCAGCAGCUAAGAAUAUUCCGCAAUGGACGAAAGUCUGACGGAGCGACGCCGCGUGGAUGAAGAAGGCCGAAAGGUUGUAAAAUCCUUUUGCUGGUGAAGAAUAAGCGUGACAGGAAAUGGUCGCGUGAUGACAUGAUCCGGUGAAUAAGCCCCGGCUAACUACGUGCCAGCAGCCGCGGUAACACGUAGGGGGCAAGCGUUGUUCGGAAUUAUUGGGCGUAAAGGGCAUGUAGGCGGUUCUGUAAGUCUGGCGUGAAAUGGUUCGGCUUAACCGGAUCCUNNNNNNNNNNNNNNNNNNNNNNNNNNNNNNNNNNNNNNNNNNNGAAUUCCAGGUGUAGGGGUGAAAUCUGUAGAUAUCUGGAAGAACACCGGUGGCGAAGGCGAACUCCUGGCCAUGUACUGACGCUGAGGCACGAAGGCGUGGGGAGCAAACAGGUUUAGAUACCCUGGUAGUCCACGCAGUAAACGAUGUACACUAGGUGGUGGGCGNNNNNNNNNCUGCGCCCAAGCUAACGUGAUAAGUGUACCGCCUGGGGAGUAUGCUCGCAAGGGUGAAACUCAAAGGAAUUGACGGGGGCCCGCACAAGCGGUGGAGCAUGUGGUUUAAUUCGAUGGUACGCGAGGAACCUUACCUGGGUUUGACAUCCAGCGGAAUACGGUAGAGAUGUCACAGCGUAGCAAUACGUCGCUAUACAGGUGCUGCAUGGCUGUCAUCAGCUCGUGCCGUGAGGUGUUGGGUUAAGUCCCGCAACGAGCGCAACCCCUACUGCCAGUUACUAACAGGUUAAGCUGAGGACUCUGGCGGAACUGCCGGUGACAAACCGGAGGAAGGUGGGGAUGACGUCAAGUCAUCAUGGCCCUUAUGUCCAGGGCUACACACGUGCUACAAUGGUCGGUACAAAGCGAUGCGAAGCCGCGAGGCCCCAGCAAACCGCAAAAAGCCGGCCGUAGUUCGGAUUGAAGUCUGAAACCCGACUUCAUGAAGGUGGAAUCGCUAGUAAUCGCGCAUCAGCACGGCGCGGUGAAUACGUUCCCGGGCCUUGUACACACCGCCCGUCACACCAUCCGAGUUGGGGGUACCCGAAGCCGGUAGCUUAACCCGAAAGGGGGAGCGCUGUCGAAGGUACGUCUAGUGAGGAGGGUGAAGUCGUAACAAGGUAACC
RNAcentral lists this ribosomal RNA (1506 nucleotides) under uncultured bacterium. RNAcentral's name for it is "16S ribosomal RNA". It matches the Rfam family "Bacterial small subunit ribosomal RNA". The record is from RNAcentral.